CAAGCCGUCCGGCUCUCUCCCCGAGACGCGUGCGGCCACUCGCCGCCACA
RNAcentral lists this non-coding RNA (50 nucleotides) under Alexandrium minutum. Lineage: Eukaryota; Dinophyceae; Gonyaulacales; Pyrocystaceae. The record is from RNAcentral.